AAAUUUUCAAAAUAAAAUAAUAAAAUCAAGCAUUCCAGUUCCCGAUCUUAAUUUCUCUUUCUCUCUCUCUCACUCUAUCUCUCUCUCCCCACAAACCCAGAAACCAUUGAAGCAUAAGCAACCAAAGAUGCAGAUCUUCGUCAAGACACUCACUGGUAAGACCAUCACUCUCGAGGUCGAGAGCAGCGACACCAUCGACAACGAAACGUCAAAGCCAAGAUUCAGGACAAGGAAGGCAUUCCUCCUGAUCAGCAGAGAUUAAUUUUUGCUGGGAAACAGUUGGAAGAUGGUAGAACCCUUUCUGAUUACAACAUCCAGAAGGAGUCAACUCUUCACCUGGUUUUGAGGCUUAGAGGAGGAACUAUGAUUAAAGUGAAGACCCUCACUGGGAAAGAAAUUGAAAUUGACAUCGAGCCCG
This 418-nucleotide unclassified non-coding RNA is filed under the name Hevea brasiliensis (rubber tree). The record is from RNAcentral. Lineage: Eukaryota; Viridiplantae; Streptophyta; Magnoliopsida; Malpighiales; Euphorbiaceae.